RNAcentral lists this unclassified non-coding RNA (329 nucleotides) under soil metagenome. RNAcentral's name for it is "partial contains 5.8S ribosomal RNA, internal transcribed spacer 2, and large subunit ribosomal RNA". The stretch from base 1 to 120 matches the Rfam family "5.8S ribosomal RNA", at positions 35 to 154 of the family's 154-position model. The record is from RNAcentral.
GAUGAAGAACGUAGCGAAAUGCGAUAAGUAAUGUGAAUUGCAGAAUUCAGUGAAUCAUCGAAUCUUCGAACGCACAUUGCGCCCCUUGGUAUUCCGAGGGGCAUGCCUGUUCGAGCGUCAUUAUAACCCCUCAAGCUCAGCUUGGUGUUGGGGCCUGCUGCACUGGCAGCCCUUAAAAUCAGUGGCGGCGCCAUCUGGCUCUAAGCGUAGUAAUUCUUCUCGCUAUGGAGUCCUGGUGGAUGCUUGCCAUCAACCCCCAAUUUUUCUAUGGUUGACCUCGGAUCAGGUAGGGAUACCCGCUGAACUUAAGCAUAUCAAUAAGCGGAGGA